This 442-nucleotide RNase P RNA is filed under the name Planctomycetota bacterium. RNAcentral's name for it is "Planctomycetes bacterium (freshwater metagenome) RNase P RNA component class A". It matches the Rfam family "Bacterial RNase P class A". From Rfam's summary of the family: Ribonuclease P (RNase P) is a ubiquitous endoribonuclease, found in archaea, bacteria and eukarya as well as chloroplasts and mitochondria. Lineage: Bacteria; Pseudomonadati; Planctomycetota. RNAcentral also lists the same sequence under 1 other name. The record is from RNAcentral.
UGGGUCGGCUGGACUGUCGCUGCCCGAGGCGGAGAAUUCUUCGACCGUCGGGGGGAGGAAAGUCCGGGCUCCAUAGGGCGCGGUGGUGGCUAACGGCCACCGUUCGAAGGCAACGUUAUAGGGGAAACCCCAUGCGCGUUGCUGAAGGACAGGGAAAGUGCAACAGAAAACGAACCGCCGGCCACGUUCGCGUGGUGGUAAGGGUGAAAAGGUGGGGCGGCUCAGCCGCUUAAUGUAAGAGCCCACCAGCAACCGGGUGACCGGUUGGCUUGGUAAACCCCACCGGGAGCAAGACCAAAUAGGAGGGGAGGGCCUGCCCGGCCCGUUAAUACUCUCGGGUAGGUCGCACGAGCCGACGGGCAACCGUCGGACUAGAGAAAUGACCGUCACUCGGGGUGAUGAGCCCCGGGAACAGAACCCGGCUUACAGGCCGGCCUGGCAU